This 1693-nucleotide long non-coding RNA is filed under the name Homo sapiens (human). RNAcentral describes it as "long non-coding RNA NONHSAT211633.1". The record is from RNAcentral. Lineage: Eukaryota; Metazoa; Chordata; Mammalia; Primates; Hominidae.
GUGGGGUCGUGGGUCCCAGCCCAGUGGUCCAGGUCACGGGCCGCACGGCCGCGGCCGCCAUCUUGCCCGCGUCCGGGCUCCUGCGGCGGGCGGGGCGGUGUCCCGGCCGGAAGCGGCUGUGCGGCGGCCGCGCUGCCACCUCAGGUCAGGAAAUUUGGAUAUGUGCAGUGCAUCUCCUCGAAGAUGCUGAUGGUGGAAAUUUCUUGAAACCGCUCUCGUAAUUUGCCACGUGCUGUUGCAAAUAUUCUGGUGAAUGAACACAGAAUCAGCAUGGCUUUCCUUUGCUGAGAAAUCACUGAUGGGAAGUGAGACUUGUUAAACUUGAAAGGAGAUCUGAAUCUCAAUGUGGUAGCAAUGGCUUUAUCGGGUUAUACGGAUGAGAAGAACUCCCUUUGGAGAGAAAUGUGUAGCACACUGCGAUUACAGCUAAAUAACCCGUAUUUGUGUGUCAUGUUUGCAUUUCUGACAAGUGAAACAGGAUCUUACGAUGGAGUUUUGUAUGAAAACAAAGUUGCAGUACGUGACAGAGUGGCAUUUGCUUGUAAAUUCCUUAGUGAUACUCAGUUAAAUAGAUACAUCGAAAAGUUGACCAAUGAAAUGAAAGAGGCUGGAAAUUUGGAAGGAAUUUUGCUUACAGGCCUUACUAAAGAUGGAGUGGACUUAAUGGAGAGUUAUGUUGAUAGAACUGGAGAUGUUCAAACAGCAAGUUACUGUAUGUUACAGGGUUCACCUUUAGAUGUUCUUAAAGAUGAAAGGGUUCAGUACUGGAUUGAGAAUUAUAGAAAUUUAUUAGAUGCCUGGAGGUUUUGGCAUAAACGAGCUGAAUUUGAUAUUCACAGGAGUAAGUUGGAUCCCAGUUCCAAGCCUUUAGCACAAGUUUUUGUGAGUUGCAAUUUCUGUGGCAAGUCAAUCUCCUACAGCUGUUCAGCUGUGCCUCAUCAGGGCAGAGGUUUUAGUCAGUAUGGUGUGAGUGGCUCACCAACGAAAUCUAAAGUCACAAGUUGUCCUGGCUGUCGAAAACCACUUCCUCGAUGUGCGCUUUGUCUCAUUAAUAUGGGAACACCAGUUUCUAGCUGUCCUGGAGGAACCAAAUCAGAUGAAAAAGUGGACUUGAGCAAGGACAAAAAAUUAGCCCAAUUUAACAACUGGUUUACAUGGUGUCAUAAUUGCAGGCACGGUGGACAUGCUGGACAUAUGCUUAGUUGGUUCAGGGACCAUGCAGAGUGCCCUGUGUCGGCAUGCACGUGUAAAUGUAUGCAGUUGGAUACAACAGGGAAUCUGGUACCUGCAGAGACUGUCCAGCCAUAAAAUGUUACCACCUUAAGAGAACCCUUCAAGUGUGGAGCUUUCUAGUAGGUGUCCUUCAUAGCUCAGAAACAUACCUCAGAACAAGCCAUUCAUGACUUACCUGUAAUGGGAAAAUAAAUCAUUCUAUCAGAUCAGCAGUUUUGAUGUUUGAGUGAUUUUGAUAUGCUUCACAGAGACAAAUGCUGCCAAAAUAAACAUCGAAGUAUAGACAUGAGUUCUGUUCAGCAGGUUGAAAAGUCUGAUUUAGAAAAACUUUCUAAGUUUUGGUUGAAAUUAUGAACACUCUAGAAGCAGAAUUUCUGGAAGAGCCAAGAACAGACUUUGAGCCUAUAUCUUCAAAGCUGAAACUGGAUAUCUUUCAAUAAAAUAUGUGCACUUUUAAAAU